Fukomys damarensis (Damara mole-rat) is the source of this 173-nucleotide long non-coding RNA. RefSeq lists it as uncharacterized. The transcript has 3 exons. The record is from RefSeq and is a predicted model, not a curated record. NCBI's taxonomy places the organism in Eukaryota, Metazoa, Chordata, Mammalia, Rodentia, Bathyergidae.
GGCCAAGGCAGGCUGCAAGGAGUCCUCGUGCGCCCCUCUCCCAGGGUGGCCAAAACGCUAUCCCCAAGCCGCGCCACCCCACAGUCUUUGAUAAACAACCAACCUGGUCACCCUCGCCUCCCCGUGCCAACUCGGGCUCUGCCUGACACCACGAGGAGAGGAAUCGCCAAACG